UUGUACAAAAACCAUAAUAGAGCGGCUACCAAAAUGAAAUCAGAGUUUUUAGCUCGGCGACAAAAAUGGCUCGAAGCAUGGCAUAUGAACAAAUCUCUGACUGGCCGCUCUUGGCUAGGUCAACUUCUAAACAUAUACAUCAUUACAUGCAUCAUAAGAACCUAAUGAGCUAAUAGCUCAGCAAGUUGAAACUGAUGUAAUAGCAAUAUAUCACAUAACACGUUAUUCUCUCAACAUACACAAUAUCACAUAUAACUUCAUUCAUGAUCUUUUCUUUUGAAAUCCUUCUCUUUUUCGGGUACCCUU
This 306-nucleotide long non-coding RNA is filed under the name Erythranthe guttata (spotted monkey flower). RNAcentral's name for it is "long non-coding RNA (EGUT_LNC001427)". Lineage: Eukaryota; Viridiplantae; Streptophyta; Magnoliopsida; Lamiales; Phrymaceae. The record is from RNAcentral.